UACGUAGGGUGCGAGCGUUGUCCGGAAUUACUGGGCGUAAAGAGCUCGUAGGUGGUUGUCGCGUUGUUCGUGAAAUCUCACGGCUUAACUGUGAGCGUGCGGGCGAUACGGGCAGACUAGAGUACUGCAGGGGAGACUGGAAUUCCUGGUGUAGCGGUGGAAUGUGCAGAUAUCAGGAGGAACACCGGUGGCGAAGGCGGGUCUCUGGGCAGUAACUGACGCUGAGGAGCGAAAGCGUGGGGAGCGAACAGG
RNAcentral lists this ribosomal RNA (252 nucleotides) under uncultured bacterium. RNAcentral's name for it is "partial 16S ribosomal RNA". It matches the Rfam family "Bacterial small subunit ribosomal RNA", at positions 524 to 776 of the family's 1533-position model. The record is from RNAcentral.